This 449-nucleotide ribosomal RNA is filed under the name uncultured bacterium. RNAcentral's name for it is "partial 16S ribosomal RNA". It matches the Rfam family "Bacterial small subunit ribosomal RNA", at positions 29 to 523 of the family's 1533-position model. The record is from RNAcentral.
AACGAACGCUGGCGGCAUGCCCAACACAUGCAAGUCGAACGAGACCUUCGGGUCUAGUGGCGCACGGGUGCGUAACGCGUGGGAAUCUGCCCCUUGGUUCGGAAUAACAGUUAGAAAUGACUGCUAAUACCGGAUGAUGACUUCGGUCCAAAGAUUUAUCGCCAAGGGAUGAGCCCGCGUAGGAUUAGGUAGUUGGUGGGGUAAAGGCUCACCAAGCCGACGAUCCUUAGCUGGUCUGAGAGGAUGAUCAGCCACACUGGGACUGAGACACGGCCCAGACUCCUACGGGAGGCAGCAGCGGGGAAUAUUGGACAAUGGGCGAAAGCCUGAUCCAGCAAUGCCGCGUGAGUGAUGAAGGCCUUAGGGUUGUAAAGCUCUUUUACCAGGGAUGAUAAUGACAGUACCUGGAGAAUAAGCUCCGGCUAACUCCGUGCCAGCCGCCGCCGUAA